UAAAAGUGUAAAUAAAGUGUGUCAAAUUGUAAAAUCCCCUUCCCUCCAACCAAACGCGCUGCGAGGGAAAAUACAGUGACGCUCGCCUCUGCAGCCCCCGCCGCCGCCCUGCUCCUCAGCAAUCGCCGCAGCCGCCCCGAGCGCGAUGGUACGUGCCGCAGCCGCGCACCAACGCCGUCGCCACACGCCAUCUCCGCCGCCCCGCGCGGGACGAUCUCCUGACCGCGCUCGCGAUUCGCCGGCUGUCCCCACCUCACCGUGGUCGCCCCAUUGGCCCAGCCCACGUCUCGACUUGAUCCGGCGGCGCGGGGUCGCCAGUGACGACGCGCGCCGCAGCCACCUUUGUGGAGGUCAUAAAUGAUGGCAAUUGCGAACGAUUGGUCCAUCCUACACAUAUUGCACGCCUCCUUUGGGAAUUAAUAACCAACGCCAGUGUAUCCUUUUCUAAUUCUGCAUUGUAACCUCUACUGGCUUCAGCUGCAACCACCAUCUUGUACAGUAGAAAUUUUUCAGAGACAGCUUCAGGUUGUUCUAGGAUUUUGCUAAAGAUCUGUAGCCAGAGCUACCAUUCAAUUGUUUUUUUUUGUCAUAUGGGGCUACCUGCCCAAGAAACCACAUGGAGGUAUGUCCCUUUGGAAGCAUAUUUUUUGGUAUACGCCUAAUUUAUUUAGUGAAGAAAAUGAUUUCUGGAUAAAUAUGUGAAACUUACAAAGUAUCUGCAUAUUACUCUCUUUUGGUGCUUCAAGAGGGAAAUAAAAACCAGUUUGGUGGUUACUGGAUGAUGACGUAUCUAGAUAAUAACUCUCACAUGGAGUUGUACUUGGUUCCAGGACAAUCACUGGAUAUCUUUAUUUUUUGGAGGGCCUGAACAAUGGGACAAAGUGGUUAAUUUUGUGGAAACAAUUGAUGUUCUUGGCGAACCGAACUUUUGUAUUAUUGGCUCUAUUGUGGUGCAAAUGUAGGUCGUUGGCUUGCUAUGGAGGUACACAUUUGUCUUUUGUUUGCUAGGCUAAGUGUGCAUUUGGACGAAGGAAUUAAUUCAUGUUUCCUAUAUAAAUCAUACUACGACAUACCAGCUUUUAGCCACCGGCACAUGAAACGAUGAGCCGAAGCUCACGCUAUCCAGCAUAUAGUAGGUCAUCGAGAAGACAAGGUAAAGGAUAAACAGGACAAUCCCGAUGAA
Lolium perenne is the source of this 1183-nucleotide long non-coding RNA. RefSeq lists it as uncharacterized. The record is from RefSeq and is a predicted model, not a curated record. NCBI's taxonomy places the organism in Eukaryota, Viridiplantae, Streptophyta, Magnoliopsida, Poales, Poaceae.